GACGAACGCUGGCGGCAUGCCUAAUACAUGCAAGUCGAACGCCAAAUCUUCCUGCUUGCAGGAAGAGGCGGAGUGGCGAACGGGUGAGUAACACGUGAGGAACUUGCCCAUAAGAGGGGGAUAACACCCGGAAACGGGUGCUAAUACCGCAUAAGUUUUCCCAGUGCAUGCUGGGAAAAUAAAAGGUGGCUCUGCUACCGCUUAUGGAUAGCCUCGCGGCGCAUUAGCUAGUUGGUAGGGUAAAGGCCUACCAAGGCCAUGAUGCGUAGCCGACUUGAGAGGGUGAUCGGCCACACUGGAACUGAGACACGGUCCAGACUCCUACGGGAGGCAGCAGUAGGGAAUCUUCCACAAUGGGUGCAAGCCUGAUGGAGCAAUGCCGCGUGAGUGAAGAAGGACUUCGGUUCGUAAAGCUCUGUUGUUGGGGAAGAACACGGAUAGGAGUCACUGCCUGUCCCUUGACGGUACCCAACCAGAAAGUCACGGCUAACUACGUGCCAGCAGCCGCGGUAAUACGUAGGUGACAAGCGUUGUCCGGAUUUAUUGGGCGUAAAGCGAGCGCAGGCGGUCCGGUAAGUCUGAUGUGAAAGCCCACGGCUCAACCGUGGAACGGCAUUGGAAACUGGCGGACUUGAAUGUAGCAGAGGAAAGUGGAAUUCCAUGUGUAGCGGUGGAAUGCGUAGAUAUAUGGAGGAACACCAGUGGCGAAAGCGACUUUCUGGGCUAUGAUUGACGCUGAGGCUCGAAAGCGUGGGGAGCGAACAGG
This 766-nucleotide ribosomal RNA is filed under the name Alloiococcus otitis. Its description in RNAcentral is "bacterial SSU rRNA". It matches the Rfam family "Bacterial small subunit ribosomal RNA", at positions 28 to 776 of the family's 1533-position model. Lineage: Bacteria; Bacillati; Bacillota; Bacilli; Lactobacillales; Carnobacteriaceae. The record is from RNAcentral.